GCGGCUGCCGGAGAGGAGCUCCUGCCAGGACCACCGCCGGCUGCUGCUGCCCCCCAAGAACGUCGAGGCGUUUUUCCUGACCCCGCGCGGCUCCGCGGGGCUGCAGCGCCAGAAGGUUCUGCUCAAGCUGGGGGACCAGCGGGGUCCGUGCGAGGCCGACGCCCUCCGUGCCCCCCUGUCCCCAAUGUCCCCUCGCUGUCCUUU
Long non-coding RNA from Haemorhous mexicanus (house finch), 204 nucleotides. RefSeq lists it as uncharacterized. The record is from RefSeq and is a predicted model, not a curated record. Lineage: Eukaryota; Metazoa; Chordata; Aves; Passeriformes; Fringillidae. The transcript is spliced from 3 exons.